RNAcentral lists this ribosomal RNA (928 nucleotides) under uncultured bacterium. Its description in RNAcentral is "bacterial SSU rRNA". It matches the Rfam family "Bacterial small subunit ribosomal RNA", at positions 10 to 929 of the family's 1533-position model. The record is from RNAcentral.
AGUUUGAUCCUCAGCUCAGGAUGAACGCUAGCUACAGGCUUAACACAUGCAAGUCGAGGGGCAGCGGUAUCGAAAGCUUGCUUUCGGUAGCCGGCGACCGGCGCACGGGUGAGUAACGCGUAUCGAACCUGCCUCAUACUCGGGAAUAGCCUUGCGAAAGUAAGAUUAAUGCCCGGUGUUUUCAGAGUCCCGCAUGAGGCUUUGAACAAAGAUUUAUCGGUAUGAGAUGGCGAUGCGUCCCAUUAGCUUGUUGGCGGGGUAACGGCCCACCAAGGCAUCGAUGGGUAGGGGUUCUGAGAGGAAGGUCCCCCACAUUGGAACUGAGACACGGUCCAAACUCCUACGGGAGGCAGCAGUGAGGAAUAUUGGUCAAUGGGCGGAAGCCUGAACCAGCCAAGUAGCGUGCAGGAAGACGGCCCUGCGGGUUGUAAACUGCUUUUAGUUGGGAAUAAAACGGGGCUCGUGAGCCCCUUGCAUGUACCAUCAGAAAAAGGACCGGCUAAUUCCGUGCCAGCAGCCGCGGUAAUACGGAAGGUCCGGGCGUUAUCCGGAUUUAUUGGGUUUAAAGGGAGCGCAGGCGGACCUUUAAGUCAGCUGUGAAAUACGGCGGCUCAACCGUCGAACUGCAGUUGAUACUGGAGGUCUUGAGUGCACACAGGGAUGCUGGAAUUCAUGGUGUAGCGGUGAAAUGCUCAGAUAUCAUGAAGAACUCCGAUCGCGAAGGCAGGCAUCCGGGGUGCAACUGACGCUGAGGCUCGAAAGUGCGGGUAUCAAACAGGAUUAGAUACCCUGGUAGUCCGCACAGUAAACGAUGAAUACUCGCGGUUUGCGAUACAGUGUAAGCCGCCAAGCGAAAGCGUUAAGUAUUCCACCUGGGGAGUUCGCCGGCAACGGUGAAACUCAAAGGAAUUGACGGAAUGGUUUUAAG